AAUUUAAAUAUAAAAUUUUUUAUUUAUUUGUUUUAUUUAUUUAUUGAUUUUUAAAGUUAUAUAAAAAAAUUUUGUUUUAUUAUUUUUUUAGAAAUAAUUAUUUUAUUAAUAGUAUUUAGUAAUGUGAAUGAAAAAUUUAAAUAAAAAGAAGUAGAAAUGUUUUUGUACCUUUUGUAUCAGGGUUGAUUAAAAUUAUUUUAAUAAUAUUAAAUAUCUCGAAAAUAAAAGAGCUAAAUUUAUAAAAUUUUUUUUGUGGCAAUAAAAUUAUAAAUAUAGAUUUAGAAAUUAAAUGUUAAUCGAAUUUAUUGAUAUCUAGUUUUUUUAGAAAUAAAUUUAAUUUAGAUAUAAAUAUUUUAUAAAAUAAAAAUUGUUUUUUUUUUUAUAAUUUUUAUAUUAAAAAUUUAUGGGAUAACCUAUAAAUUUAAUAAUAAAAAUAAGUAUUUUAAUAUUUAAAAUUUUAUGGAUAUAAAAUUUAUUUUUAAUUUAAAAAAUUUAAUAAUUUAGUUAUUUAGUAUAUAAUAAUAUAUUUAUAUAUAAAUAAAGAUUUAAGAAUUUAUAUUUUAUUAAUCUAUAAAAAUAUAUAUUUAAAUUUUUAAAAUAUAGAAAUAAUGAUUAAAUUAGUAAUAUGUAAUAUUAUAUAAAUUAUUAAUUAAUAAAUUAUAUAAUUUAAAGGAACUCGGCAAAAUUAUUAUUCACCUGUUUAUCAAAAACAUGUCCUAUUGAUAAUAAUUUUAGGUCGAUCUGCUCAAUGAAAUAUUUUUAAUAGCUGCAGUAUAUUGACUGUACAAAGGUAGCAUAAUAAAUUGUCUUUUAAUUGAAGAAUUGAAUGAACGAAUUAAUGAAAUAAUAACUGUCUCUGAAUUAUUAAAUGAAUUUAAAUUUUUAGUUAAAAUUCUAAAAUUUAAUUAUGGGACGAUAAGACCCUAUAGAAUUUUAUUUAAUAUUUUAUUUAUUAAAUAAUUAUUAAUUUGUAAAUAAGAUGUUAAAUUUGAUUGGGAGGAUUGAUAAAUUAAUUAAACUUUAUUUAAUAUUUAAUUUUGAUUUAAAGAUAGAUAUUGAAUUAUAAUUUAUAAUUAAUAGAGUAAAUUACCUUAGGGAUAACAGCGUAAUAUCUUUUGAUAGACCAUAUAGAUAAAGAUGAUUGCGACCUCGAUGUUGAAUUAAGAUUAAAAUUAAACGCAGAAGUUUAAAUUUUGAGUCUGUUCGACUCUUAAAAUCUUACAUGAUUUGAGUUCAAAUCGACGUAAGUCAGAUUGGAUUCUAUCUAUAAUAAAAAUUAAAUUAAUUGUACGAAAGGACCUUAAUUUAUAAAUUAUUUAAAAAAAAAAUACUAAAUUAUUUAGUUA
Molecule: ribosomal RNA, 1346 nt
Filed under: Apis dorsata (giant honeybee)
Lineage: Eukaryota; Metazoa; Arthropoda; Insecta; Hymenoptera; Apidae
Description: 16S ribosomal RNA
Source: RNAcentral